Molecule: long non-coding RNA, 208 nt
Filed under: Mytilus galloprovincialis (Mediterranean mussel)
Lineage: Eukaryota; Metazoa; Mollusca; Bivalvia; Mytilida; Mytilidae
Source: RNAcentral
AUACUCUGAUAAUUGUGAUUAGGUCAGACAGGAGUUUGUCUGCAAAAGACUCAUAAGUAACUCGAUCUCCAAUAAAAAAAAAUGAAAGGCCAAAUAAUUUACAAAAUUAAAAACUUUGAUAAUCAAGAGAAAAACUUAUAUCUAUGAUUCAUACAUAAAAUACAAAACUUAGAACCUGAAAUUGAAAAAUUAUAAACAGUCAGGGGCG